Syngnathus acus (greater pipefish) is the source of this 262-nucleotide long non-coding RNA. RefSeq lists it as uncharacterized. Lineage: Eukaryota; Metazoa; Chordata; Actinopteri; Syngnathiformes; Syngnathidae. The transcript has 4 exons. The record is from RefSeq and is a predicted model, not a curated record.
UACUCAGGUCAAGACAGAAGCGCCGACGUUGCUUCCUGCGCGUACGUCAACCAAGGGGUGCACCUCUCCAGUCGGCCUGGCAAGUGGAGACAUGGCUCGUGCGGAUCCUCCUUGGCGUACAUGUGCAAGCGGUCGCCCGACGCCUGCCCGGAGGGACGGCUGUGUUCCUACAAAGACUACGGACUCGGCGUCAGUCGAGUGGAGACUUCCUUCUGCGACACUGGCGAGUUACUGUACAAGGACUCUUGCUAUCACUUUGAGG